This 808-nucleotide long non-coding RNA is filed under the name Marmota monax (woodchuck). The record is from RNAcentral. Lineage: Eukaryota; Metazoa; Chordata; Mammalia; Rodentia; Sciuridae.
GAAAAGGUAUUAAUAUUACAUUAUUUUGCAUUAAGUCUGGAAAAAAGAAGGAAGUAGAACAAGAACUACUUGUAUGUAGUAGACAUUUAACUGACAGGCACAAUCGCAGUAGACAUUCUUAAUAACACCCAGUUUCAUCCUUCUUCAUUCCACCUCUUAGGUUGAAAAUGUGCACAGCUGAAUUAGAUUCACCUUUUACUUUGUGUGUCUUUUUGCAUUUCUGGGGAAUGUUGCUGUCCUAUUGUGAUUGAGACUGAGCAUAAUGUCUUUGAGACUAUAUACUACUUCCUGGCAUGUUGAUUUUUUGUUGGACAUAUUAAAUUCUAUUGACCUAUUUAUCUGAUGGCCUUUCCACAGCCACCAUCACUAAAAUGUUGGGCAUCUUCUGAUUCAGUUUUGGGUUAGGGAUGGGAAAUAUAUAUGAAUAUAUUUUAAUAUGUGUGUAUGUAUAGUAUCAAACCCUAUGUAUACUAUGUUUUCCCUAUACAUACAUACAUACACACACACACAUACACACAUACAUACACACACACAUACAUACACACACAUACACACACACACACACACACACAUAUAUAUAUAUAUAUAUAUAUAUAUAUAUAUAUAUAUAUAUAUAUAUAUAAAAUUUGUAGUAAAAAUCAUAUAAAAUGUGCCCUCUUAAGUGUUUUAAGUUUACAGUUCAAUAGUGUUUACUAUAUCCACAUUGUUGUGUAACAAAUCUCUAGAACCUUUUCAUUUAACAAAACUGAAACUUGGUACUUAUUCAGUGACUCCCCAUUCAUCUUUCCCUCCAGGCCCUGGAAACUAU